Molecule: ribosomal RNA, 473 nt
Filed under: uncultured bacterium
Lineage: Bacteria
Description: bacterial SSU rRNA
Rfam family: Bacterial small subunit ribosomal RNA
Source: RNAcentral
AGCGAACGUUUGCGGCGGGCUUAACACAUGCAAGUCGAACGGGCUGUUCCUUCGGGGGCAGUCAGUGGCGCACGGGUGCGUAACACGUAGGUAAUCAACCCUCUGGUUGGGGAUAACACUUCGAAAGGAGUGCUAAUACCCGGUAUGGCGCAGCGGUCUUCGGAUCGCGGCGAGAAAGACCCGCAAGGGUUGCCAGAGGACGAGCCUGCGGCCCAUCAGCUAGUUGGCGAGGUAACGGCUCACCAAGGCGAAGACGGGUAGCUGGUCUGAGAGGAUGAUCAGCCACACUGGAACUGAGACACGGUCCAGACUCCUACGGGAGGCAGCAGUGGGGAAUAUUGCGCAAUGGGCGAAAGCCUGACGCAGCCACGCCGCGUGAGCGAUGAAGGCCUCGGUCGUAAGACUCUGUGGGAGGAGAAGAAUAAAGACUGUGAGAGCAGGCCUUGACGGUAGUCUCCUUAGCAAGCACCGGC